Molecule: ribosomal RNA, 503 nt
Filed under: uncultured bacterium
Lineage: Bacteria
Description: partial 16S ribosomal RNA
Rfam family: Bacterial small subunit ribosomal RNA
Source: RNAcentral
AUUGAACGCUGGCGGCAGGCUUAACACAUGCAAGUCGAGCGGGGUGAUGGUGCUUGCACUAUCACUUAGCGGCGGACGGGUGAGUAAUGCUUAGGAAUCUGCCUAUUAGUGGGGGACAACAUCUCGAAAGGGAUGCUAAUACCGCAUACGUCCUACGGGAGAAAGCAGGGGAUCACUUGUGACCUUGCGCUAAUAGAUGAGCCUAAGUCGGGUUAGCUAGUUGGUGGGGUAAAGGCCUACCAAGGCGACAAUCUGUAGCGGGUCUGAGAGGAUGAUCCGCCACACUGGGACUGAGACACGGCCCAGACUCCUACGGGAGGCAGCAGUGGGGAAUAUUGGACAAUGGGGGGAACCCUGAUCCAGCCAUGCCGCGUGUGUGAAGAAGGCCUUAUGGUUGUAAAGCACUUUAAGCGAGGAGGAGGCUCUUUUGGUUAAUACCCAAGAUGAGUGGACGUUACUCGCAGAAUAAGCACCGGCUAACUCUGUGCCAGCCGCCGCGGUAA